UCCAGGCCCUACGGGGUGCAGCAGGCGCGAAACCCCUACAAUGUACGACAGUGUGAUAGGGGAAUCCUAAGUGCUUAUGCUCAGCAUAGGCUUUUGCAUAGAGUAAAUAUCUAUGCGAAUAAAGGGUGGGAAAGACCGGUGCCAGCAGCCGCGGUAACACCGGCGCCCUGAGUGGCAAUCAGAAUUAUUGGGCCUAAAGCGUUCGUAGCCGGAUUUGUAAGUUUCUUGUGAAACUAUUCAGCUUAACUGAAUAAAUGGCAGGAAAUACUGCAAGUCUAGGGACCGGGAGGAGUUAGAAGUAUUCUAUGGGGAGCGGUAAAAUGUGAUAAUCCAUGGAAGACUACCUGUGGUGAAGACGUCUAACUAGAACGGAUCCGACGGUGAGGAACGAAGGCUAGGGGAACAAACCGGAUUAGAUACCCGAGUAGUCCUAGCAGUAAACGCUGUAUGCAAGAUGUUGCGCAUCCUCGUGGUUGCGCAGUAUCGAAGGGAAGCCGUUAAGCAUACCGCCUGGGAAGUACGGUCGCAAGACUGAAACUUAAAGGAAUUGGCGGGGGAGCACCACAAGGGGUGCGGCGUGCGGUUUAAUCUAACUUAACGCAGAAAAUCUCACCAGGGGCGACAGCACGAUGAAAGUCAGUCUAAAGGGCUUACUGGAGAAGCUGAGAGGUAGUGCAUGGCCGUCGUCAGCUCGUGCCGUAAGGUGUCCUGUUAAGUCAGGCAACGAGCGAGACCUAUAUCCACAAUUGCCAGCGGACUCUUCGGAGUGACCGGGAACAUUGUGGGGACUGCCCGUGAAAACGGGAGGAAGGUGUAGGCUACGGUAGGUCUGUAUGCUCCGAAUCUCCUGGGCUACACGCGCGCAACAAUGGUAUGGACAAUGGGAUACUACUCCGAAAGGGGACGUUAAUCCUCUAAACCAUGCCUUAGUUCAGAUUGUGGGUUGUAACUCACCCACAUGACGCUGGAAUCCCUAGUAAUCAGAAUUCAUCAUAUUCUGGUGAAUAUGUCCCUGCUCCUUGUACACACCGCCCGUC
RNAcentral lists this ribosomal RNA (1037 nucleotides) under uncultured archaeon. Its description in RNAcentral is "bacterial SSU rRNA". It matches the Rfam family "Archaeal small subunit ribosomal RNA", at positions 315 to 1354 of the family's 1478-position model. The record is from RNAcentral.